GGGGAAUAUUGGGCAAUGGACGCAAGUCUGACCCAGCAACGCCGCGUGAAGGAAGAAGGCUUUCGGGUUGUAAACUUCUUUUAAGGGGGAAGAGUAGAAGACGGUACCCCUUGAAUAAGCCACGGCUAACUACGUGCCAGCAGCCGCGGUAAUACGUAGGUGGCAAGCGUUGUCCGGAUUUACUGGGUGUAAAGGGCGUGUAGCCGGGAAGGUAAGUCAGAUGUGAAAUCUGGGGGCUCAACCUCCAAACUGCAUUUGAAACUGUAGUUCUUGAGUGAUGGAGAGGCAGGCGGAAUUCCGAGUGUAGCGGUGAAAUGCGUAGAUAUUCGGAGGAACACCAGUGGCGAAGGCGACUUUCUGGACUAUAACUGACGCUGAGAUACGAAAGCGUGGGGAGCAAACA
This 403-nucleotide ribosomal RNA is filed under the name uncultured Oscillibacter sp. RNAcentral describes it as "bacterial SSU rRNA". It matches the Rfam family "Bacterial small subunit ribosomal RNA", at positions 356 to 774 of the family's 1533-position model. The record is from RNAcentral. Lineage: Bacteria; Bacillati; Bacillota; Clostridia; Eubacteriales; Oscillospiraceae.